AGUUUGAUCAUGGGACUCAGAGUGAACGCUGGCUGUGUAAGCCUAACACAUGCAAGUCGAACGGCAGCACAGGAGAGCUUGCUCUCUGGGUGGCGAGUGGCGGACGGGUGAGGAAUACAUCGGAAUCUACUUUUUCGUGGUGGGAUAACGUAGGGAAACUUACGCUAAUACCGCAUACGACCUACGGGUGAAAGCAGAGGAGAUCUAUCGGACCUUGCGCGAUUGAAUGAGCCGAUGUCGAGAUUAGCUAGUUGGCAGGGGUAAAGUGCCCACCAAGGACGUACGAUCCGAUAGCUGGUCUGAGAGUGAUGACUCAGCCACACUGGAACUGAGACACGGUCCAGACUCCUACG
Molecule: ribosomal RNA, 353 nt
Filed under: uncultured bacterium
Lineage: Bacteria
Description: bacterial SSU rRNA
Rfam family: Bacterial small subunit ribosomal RNA
Source: RNAcentral